CCAGCAGCCGCGGUAAUUCCAGCUCCAAUAGCGUAUAUUAAAGUUGUUGCAGUUAAAAAGCUCGUAGUUGGAUCUCGGGUACUAGCAUGUGGUACGCUUUUUUGCUGUUACUACAUGUCUGGUCCUAAUCAACCGGUUGGCCGUUGAUGCCCUUUAUUGGGUGUUUUCGGUAGCCGGUACGUUUACUUUGAGAAAAUUAGAGUGCUUAAAGCAGGCCUUAAGCCUGAAUAAUGUUGCAUGGAAUAAUAGAAUAGGACCUCGGUUCUAUUUUGUUGGUUUUGUAGAGCAUUGAGGUAAUGAUUAAUAGGGACAGACGGGGGCAUUCGUAUUGCGGUGUUAGAGGU
RNAcentral lists this ribosomal RNA (344 nucleotides) under uncultured eukaryote. Its description in RNAcentral is "SSU rRNA". It matches the Rfam family "Eukaryotic small subunit ribosomal RNA", at positions 567 to 912 of the family's 1831-position model. The record is from RNAcentral.